AAGGGUGAUGCAGAUGGUAACAAGCCCGUGGAAAUCCAUGCUGCUUCAAAUGAAGAGCGAGCCCAGAAGUAGAACACCAGAUCACUUGGCAUCAAACAGGUGAAUAAAAAAUACAGAUAUGAGCAACAAUUUCCCAGGAAAAAGAGGAAAACCAUCUGAAUCCAUUUUGAUUUUGAACGUGACUAACCUGCCUUCAGCCUCAGGAAAGACUGACGGUGUGCUGCUUGGGCUUCUGGUACGGAGUCUGUGAAAGGACACUAUGUGUUUUGGGUCAGUCUUGAGACCUUGUCCUCAGUUCUGCAGUGGGACUCAAGUCUGCCCAUGCUUGUCCCAUUGCCAGAUCAGCACUGCAAGUAGCAAGUCUCAAAAUUCCUUAGUCUCUUGUUAUUAUUUAUAUAUAAAAUAAAAUUCCAGUUACACAAAA
Molecule: long non-coding RNA, 424 nt
Organism: Cariama cristata (Red-legged seriema)
Lineage: Eukaryota; Metazoa; Chordata; Aves; Cariamiformes; Cariamidae
Exons: 2
Source: RefSeq, a predicted model, not a curated record